RNAcentral lists this ribosomal RNA (482 nucleotides) under uncultured Desulfobulbus sp. Its description in RNAcentral is "bacterial SSU rRNA". It matches the Rfam family "Bacterial small subunit ribosomal RNA", at positions 906 to 1382 of the family's 1533-position model. The record is from RNAcentral. Lineage: Bacteria; Pseudomonadati; Thermodesulfobacteriota; Desulfobulbia; Desulfobulbales; Desulfobulbaceae.
GGAAUUGACGGGGGCCCGCACAAGCGGUGGAGUAUGUGGUUUAAUUCGAUGCAACGCGAAGAACCUUACCUGGUCUUGACAUCCCAGAAAUCCCUUGGAAACUUGGGAGUGCUUCCAUUAGGAAGAAUCUGGAGACAGGUGCUGCAUGGCUGUCGUCAGCUCGUGUCGUGAGAUGUUGGGUUAAGUCCCGCAACGAGCGCAACCCUUGCCUUUAGUUGCCAGCAGUUCGGCUGGGCACUCUAAAGGGACUGCCGGUGUUAAACCGGAGGAAGGUGGGGAUGACGUCAAGUCCUCAUGGCCUUUAUGACCAGGGCUACACACGUACUACAAUGGCCGAUACAAAGGGCAGCGACAUCGCGAGGUGAAGCCAAUCCCAUAAAAUCGGUCUCAGUCCGGAUUGGAGUCUGCAACUCGACUCCAUGAAGUUGGAAUCGCUAGUAAUCGUGGAUCAGCAUGCCACGGUGAAUACGUUCCCGGGCCUU